GUUUGCGGGGCGGAGGGGCCUCAGGGCGACGGUUCCAGAACAGACCCAGGCUGCUCCGGUCAGCAGCAGCCCCGCCGCUCUCCCACCUAGCGGGGACCCCCAGCCCCGCCAGCCGCAUCGCUCUGUCCCUCUCAUGUCAGGCAAGCCAGUUCCGGACCGCGUGGCACCAGGAGCCGCCAGGAGCCGGGGCGACCCAGAGGUCUCCAGCGACCUGGCGUCCGGCGAGGACACAGCCCCCAGGAGGGGUUAGACCACGGGAGCCGGAGCCCGAGUCCCAGGGCCGCCGAGCCAGUUUAGAGUGGUCUCCAGGCCCUAGUGGGAAGGGGCUCCGCGCUUCUGGGCGUCCACAGGAGCUGCAUGGCCCUGCCCGCUGACGCCCGGUCGGGACGCUCCACACCCUGUGUGGGGGCGGAGGGGACGCGGUGGGUGCGGCCUGGGCGCGGGUGGGCUAGAGCCUGGAGACCGCCGGGAGCCCGACUUCCUGGCGCUUUGCCCUUUGGGGAGCGGAGCCAAGGAACAGCGCCAACCUCUCUCCACAAGCCAGGGACCCUACGACCCACCGCCGCAGGCCAGAACCAGCAGCUGAUUUAGAUACCAUCAAGACACCUAAAACCUUAUCAUGAGCCAGAUGCUGUGGAAGAGAUUCUGGGAGAAUCCUGAGGACCCCCCAGUUGCAGCCAUGUCAAGACUGAUGCUGAGGAGGACCCCAACUGUCACGAGCAACACCCGUCGAACACAGCCACCUACUUGGGGAAAGAUCAAGAAGCUGUCACAGAUGGUGGAAGAAAACCUGAGGAAAGCGGGACAACCAGUCACAAUGAGUAAUUUAAUGAUAGCUAUGAGAGCGGUGAUCACCAUUGCUUCUGCAGAUGCAGAUCCUGACUCCUGCGAGAAGUAGCUCACCGUGAUAAAGCUGCCUUUGCUUUUAUUGCCCUGCAAAAACAAGAAGGGGGAUAUGCUGGGGAAUAGGCCCCCAAAUCUGGACAUAAACUGGCCCCAAAACUGGCCAUAAACAAAAUCUCUGCAGCGCUGUGACAUGUUCAUGGUGGCCAUAACGCCCAUGCUGGAAGGCUGUGGUUUACCGGAAUGAGAGCGAGGAACACCUGGCCUAUCCAGGGCGGAAAACCACUUAUAGGUAUUCCUAAACCACAAACAACCUAUGCCUUAAGGACAUGUUCCUGCUGCAGAUAACUAGCCAGAGCCCAUCCCUUUGUUUCGGCCCAUCCUUUUGUUUCCUGUAAGGAGUGCUUUUAGUUAAUCUAUAAUCUAUAGAAACAAUACUUAUCACUGGCUUGCUGUCAAUAAAUAUGUGGGUAAAUCUCUGCUCAUGGCUCUCAGCUCUGAAGGCUGUGAGUCCCCUGAUUUCCCACUCCACAUGCU
Molecule: long non-coding RNA, 1380 nt
Filed under: Homo sapiens (human)
Lineage: Eukaryota; Metazoa; Chordata; Mammalia; Primates; Hominidae
Description: long non-coding RNA NONHSAT212187.1
Source: RNAcentral